GAUGAAGAACGUAGCGAAAUGCGAUAAGUAAUGUGAAUUGCAGAAUUCAGUGAAUCAUCGAAUCUUUGAACGCACAUUGCGCCCGGCAGUAAUCUGCCGGGCAUGCCUGUCCGAGCGUCAUUUCACCCCUCGAGCCGCUUUUAGUGGAUCGGUGUUGGGGCACUACGGUAAAACGUAGGCCCCGAAAUGAAGUGGCGGUCCCGCCGCGGUGCCCCCAUGCGUAGUAACGUUUAGUCUCGCAUCGGGUCCCGGCGGAGGCCUGCCGUCAAGCCUUUUAUUCUCAGAAUAGUUUGACCUCGGAUCAGGUAGGGUUACCCGCUGAACUUAAGCAUAUCAAUAAGCGGAGGA
Molecule: unclassified non-coding RNA, 348 nt
Filed under: soil metagenome
Description: partial contains 5.8S ribosomal RNA, internal transcribed spacer 2, and large subunit ribosomal RNA
Rfam family: 5.8S ribosomal RNA (bases 1-120)
Source: RNAcentral